CUCCAUCAGCCGCGCUGACUCGUCUUUCAGAGUAAGCUCCCUGCAGAGAGCCCAUGGGUGACAUGAAGCUGGCCUCGGACACCACAUCUUCUGGCUUCCCUGGCCUCUGGCCCUGUUGUUUCCUGGACCUUGGCCACGGCUGAAGUUCAGGCUCCUCGUGAUAACAGGCUGCUGAUGGCUUCUGAUGAAUGAAAACCCGGGCAAAGACGGUGCUUCUCCUCCCUCCUGGCCCCUUGCAUGUUAGGGAAAUUUGAGUAGCACAAAGAGAGAUGGUCUCCCUGAGGGUCUUCACAAGGCCCCAUCCAAGUAUCUCCAGGAUGUGGGCAGCUCUCUGAGCACACGGAGGUCCUUGCGACGGCCGCACACAUGGUGGGGGAUGAAAAACGUUUCUUUCUCUGGGAAUCCUGGGGUGGGAACCUCACCUAGUGGCUAGGCGGACACACAGCACAGGGUGGAUUCAGGCCCGCCUCACCCUAUGAGAGAGGAGGGGCCCCUCUCAGGAACACUGGAGGUGGUUGAUUGCGACCAAAGGCUCUGCCGUGGGGACUAAUUCCCACCCUUGGAAUUCAGUAGACUUUUCUGUUGUUGGAUCCCCAGAAAGCCCCAAAUCAAGUUUGAAUUUCUCUAUGGAAGACUGUGGCACCUGGAACCACAGAGCACGUUCCCCGUGACAUGGGAUGUGACACUGCUUAUCAGAAGCCGCCUGGGUCUUCGGGACAGAGUCUACUUUAAUGUAAACUGGAACCCAGGGAAGGUAAACUGAGACACAGCCCUGCGUGUUGACUUCAGGGUGGUUGGAGAGUUCUAUGGAGAGGAAGGAACGUGGUGAGUGGUGGAGACAGGAUUCAGGGCGCCAUUCUGAAGGACCGGCCUUCAGCAGGGGACUCCGUAUUCUGGUUUCCGGUCUAUUUACAGCAUCUCUCUCUCUCUCUCUCGCUUUCUCUCCCCUUUCCUGCCACACUUUGAUCCAUUCUCGUAAAGCAGGAGAGAGACUCCUUGGUUUAUAGCCACUGUCUAAACAUUGCGAUGCUUUCUAUGUGAGCAUGGCAGUCACUCUGUUUCUAUCUUUAAUACUGUAACUGCUCAUCGGUUUAGCUCUUCUCUACCAAUUGGAGAAAUGCACAAGAUUCAGGGAGAUCAUUUGUGAGAAAAGGCAUCGCUGUUCUUCAAGCCCCCAUCUUCAAAGCAAACAUCUCUCUGGCAGAACCCAAGAAAAAUUCCAGUUGGGUUUUCAAGAGCUAAUUAAGCCACUGCACGGCUUCAUGCGAAACCCUUCUCCCUCCCCAUCUCCUUCUCAGUUUCUUCAAGAUUAGGCUGAGGUUGGAAAGCAAACCCGAAAGCAUCUCCAACCGCGUUAUUUCUGGGCUGUGUUGAUGCAUGAAGCCACAUCUGGCUCAGGAUGGAGACUCAGGGUCUGGGCAAGUUGACAAAUCCAAAGGCACCUGCUGUCGAGCGAGGACUGAAGCCACCGCUGACACUGUGCCCAGCAAAACCAGCACACACGGACUAUUAACUGGUCGACUUUGCUCCUGGGGGCGUGGAAGGCAGAAUCAAAGUGAAUAAUGUAAGCAUUCCCCAGGCAGGGCCGGCACACCCUGCUCUGGGAAAAUAAAAAUAAAUGUUGAUGCUGGUGGAUUGUAAAAUCCCCUACCACUUCCGUUAUUCCAUCCUGUGCUUUUGAGUCGAACACAUUAAGCUCACCAGGGGAGACUGGCUCUGACAUAGCGCUGUGUCCCUCUUCCUGAAACGAAAGCCGUCUGUCUGACGAGGACAUUGAGGACCCGUAAUUUACUACCUCUGCUACAAUUCUAAAUGCUCCCCCACCGCAGGGAUUGAAACGUUCUUCCUAUAAUUAUAGUGGAAUCAAAAGUCUAGCCGGCUAAUGCGUGGAGCUUCUGUGCCAGCUAUUUAUAAUAGGGGCUUCUCAGCCAAUAUGUUGUUUUUAAUAUGUCAUCUAUAUGACAUUGUCAGGAUCAACCUGUCCUUAUUUUCUGUGUUUCUCCCCUAAAAUAAUAUUAUUACUUAAACAUAUAAAUAUUUGUGAGACUAAAAAGAAAAAGAAAAAUACCUGAAAAUGUAAAACCCAGCCAAGCCCGGUUGCCUCUUGGUUGGCCAUGGAAGGAUUCUUUGGGAGGGAGGCCCAGGGUGGGGUGUUGCUGGCUGCCUGAGGCCAAGGGGGCUCUCUGGGAAAGCAGUCUCCACACUCUGGGCCUGUUAGUCCGGGUCCCUGAUGAGAAUGGCCUUCUCUCUUUGGGAAACACUCCUGCUCCCUGGUAGUGUGGCGUCAACGGGGAGAUGCUACCUAGUGUGGCCCAAGAUGCGCUUUUGUCCAACUCAUCCCACUCACAGAUCCGGCUGUGGUGCAGCUUCGUGGCUAUCUCACAGGUCACAGUGUUAUUCUGGCAUCGGAAUCCCCCAGCGCUGCUAUCCAAAUUCUCUCCAACAGAGAAGGCGGCAGGCAGUGGCUGGUGCUGGAGAAGCCUCUAGGUCUGCCAAAGUCUGGUUUUGGCAGUCGGGGCUGGGGGCUCCCCCAGCAAGCAGCAGCGCUGUCCAACCCAUUCUGGUCCAAGGACAAGUGGUGCCUUCCUUCUUCUGACUCAGACCCCCGGCUACCUUUCCCUUUCGCCUGCGGAAGCGACGGGGCGUGCAUGGCAAAGCUGCCACGGAACAGGUGUGGAGGUGAUGGUGAGUGGCAAACCUCCGUGCCCAAGUGGGACACAGCUUGUACUUUCUUGAAUUGUUGAAUUUGAAAGCUUGAAGAAGCCUGCAGGAUCCACACCAACACUUUUGUUAUUUUGCACAUGAGAACACUGCAGCUUAGAACGUCGGGGUGUCUUGCCCAAGUGGCCCCGCUGGGCUGAUGGGGUCCCCUGAUUGCUACCACGUGUUCUUUCCAACACAGCAACGCUUUCUCGCUACCCAGUCUGUUCAGAUUGCCCUCUAGGAAUUGGAAACGGCCCCCAGAUGCAUCCAUUUCUUCUCUUUCUGCAUAAAGUGCUGAUCACAGACACUGAAAGAGUCGUUUCUAUUAGAGAUGGGAACGUUGGACUGGGUUUAAUGUGGAUGUUUCUACAGCAGAACUAACAGAGCAGCACCUCCCCAGUGCCCCCUGCAAAGCACCGCGGUCUGCGCACGGCUCCGGGAGGUCACGGCCUUCCCUUUAUUGGCAAACACAAAGCUGGCAGAUGAUACUUAGGAGUCACAUCUCUAAGUCCACCGUCUUUAUUCUCUUCCCUAUUUGGAUUUCUUUUUCAGUAUUCUGAUCUUAGAAUUUGUACUGAAAAAGUGAAAAAAAAUUGAAAACCGUUGGAUUCUCCAGAUUUCACUGGAGCUGAUGAUAAUUAUCACAUUCUUAAUACCAAACUUUUACACUUUUACACAAGUUCUUGAGAAGUCCCAAAUUAUGAAAACCUCUAGAAUAGAUUGGUGGGAGAAUAAUUGUCUCAACCAUCCAGAAAUCAGUUUAUUGAAUUGGUUGAUUUGAUGUUAGUUGUCGUAAUUGAUGACUGGUGCCUUCUGAGGAGAGAACAAAAAAGAAAACAGUGCUUUAUCCUCAAGGCACCUGUGGGCUAAGAGGAGCCAGUAACACCUGGAGCUGUGAUACUAGAAAAAGGUAACAUGAGAGGAAUCUGUAAAGUGCUAUGAAAAUCCACAAAAGGAUGACAACUGCUAGAGAGAUGGUAAAAGGGCUCCAUGGCAGGUGCAUUGCACAGGGGAAGUGGAUUUCAAAAUCAUAGAAUGAAUCCAACCAGAUGGAAAAAACAAUCAGGUCUUGGAGACAAGAAUAAACAGGGCUCUCCUAGGGAAUGAUGGGAGUUCAGUUUGGAUGAAGCAAAGUGUCAUUCCAGGGGGCAUGAGGCCGGCGUGCCUGGGAGCCCGGGUAGGCUGGACUUUGUCAAGGGAACAACAGAGAACUGGAGACUCCCGGCCCUGGAGCGACCUUCCAAGGUCAUCCAGCCUGACCCUCUCCCAGGGUCAUCUGACCUGACCCUCUCCCAGCUGCGUCCAUCCCGUCUCACACCUUCCUAGCCAUGGUCCUGGGCAAAUGAUUCCCCUAGCCACUUACACACCCAUUUCUGCUCAGCUGUAGCAAAAUCAGUCAG
RNAcentral lists this long non-coding RNA (4103 nucleotides) under Homo sapiens (human). RNAcentral describes it as "HSALNT0157359". Lineage: Eukaryota; Metazoa; Chordata; Mammalia; Primates; Hominidae. The record is from RNAcentral.